This 1437-nucleotide ribosomal RNA is filed under the name Staphylococcus aureus. Its description in RNAcentral is "partial 23S ribosomal RNA". It matches the Rfam family "Bacterial large subunit ribosomal RNA", at positions 12 to 1451 of the family's 2925-position model. Lineage: Bacteria; Bacillati; Bacillota; Bacilli; Caryophanales; Staphylococcaceae. The record is from RNAcentral.
UAAGGGCGCACGGUGGAUGCCUUGGCACUAGAAGCCGAUGAAGGACGUUACUAACGACGAUAUGCUUUGGGGAGCUGUAAGUAAGCUUUGAUCCAGAGAUUUCCGAAUGGGGAAACCCAGCAUGAGUUAUGUCAUGUUAUCGAUAUGUGAAUACAUAGCAUAUCAGAAGGCACACCCGGAGAACUGAAACAUCUUAGUACCCGGAGGAAGAGAAAGAAAAUUCGAUUCCCUUAGUAGCGGCGAGCGAAACGGGAAGAGCCCAAACCAACAAGCUUGCUUGUUGGGGUUGUAGGACACUCUAUACGGAGUUACAAAGGACGACAUUAGACGAAUCAUCUGGAAAGAUGAAUCAAAGAAGGUAAUAAUCCUGUAGUCGAAAAUGUUGUCUCUCUUGAGUGGAUCCUGAGUACGACGGAGCACGUGAAAUUCCGUCGGAAUCUGGGAGGACCAUCUCCUAAGGCUAAAUACUCUCUAGUGACCGAUAGUGAACCAGUACCGUGAGGGAAAGGUGAAAAGCACCCCGGAAGGGGAGUGAAAUAGAACCUGAAACCGUGUGCUUACAAGUAGUCAGAGCCCGUUAAUGGGUGAUGGCGUGCCUUUUGUAGAAUGAACCGGCGAGUUACGAUUUGAUGCAAGGUUAAGCAGUAAAUGUGGAGCCGUAGCGAAAGCGAGUCUGAAUAGGGCGUUUAGUAUUUGGUCGUAGACCCGAAACCAGGUGAUCUACCCUUGGUCAGGUUGAAGUUCAGGUAACACUGAAUGGAGGACCGAACCGACUUACGUUGAAAAGUGAGCGGAUGAACUGAGGGUAGCGGAGAAAUUCCAAUCGAACCUGGAGAUAGCUGGUUCUCUCCGAAAUAGCUUUAGGGCUAGCCUCAAGUGAUGAUUAUUGGAGGUAGAGCACUGUUUGGACGAGGGGCCCCUCUCGGGUUACCGAAUUCAGACAAACUCCGAAUGCCAAUUAAUUUAACUUGGGAGUCAGAACAUGGGUGAUAAGGUCCGUGUUCGAAAGGGAAACAGCCCAGACCACCAGCUAAGGUCCCAAAAUAUAUGUUAAGUGGAAAAGGAUGUGGCGUUGCCCAGACAACUAGGAUGUUGGCUUAGAAGCAGCCAUCAUUUAAAGAGUGCGUAAUAGCUCACUAGUCGAGUGACACUGCGCCGAAAAUGUACCGGGGCUAAACAUAUUACCGAAGCUGUGGAUUGUCCUUUGGACAAUGGUAGGAGAGCGUUCUAAGGGCGUUGAAGCAUGAUCGUAAGGACAUGUGGAGCGCUUAGAAGUGAGAAUGCCGGUGUGAGUAGCGAAAGACGGGUGAGAAUCCCGUCCACCGAUUGACUAAGGUUUCCAGAGGAAGGCUCGUCCGCUCUGGGUUAGUCGGGUCCUAAGCUGAGGCCGACAGGCGUAGGCGAUGGAUAACAGGUUGAUAUUCCUGUACCACCUAU